UGGGGAAUAUUGCACAAUGGGGGAAACCCUGAUGCAGCGACGCCGCGUGAACGAAGAAGGUAUUCGUAUCGUAAAGUUCUGUCCUAUGGGAAGAUAAUGACAGUACCAUAGAAGAAAGCUCCGGCUAAAUACGUGCCAGCAGCCGCGGUAAUACGUAUGGAGCGAGCGUUGUCCGGAAUUAUUGGGCGUAAAGGGUAAGCAGGCGGUUUAAUAAGUCGAAUGUUAAAGAUCGGGGCUCAACCCCGCAAAGCAUUGGAAACUGAUAAACUUGAGUAGUGGAGAGGAAAGUGGAAUUCCUAGUGUAGUGGUGAGAUACGUAGAUAUUAGGAGGGAUACAAGUAGCGAAGGCGACUUUCUGGACACAAACUGACGCUGAGGUACGAAAGCGUGGGGAGCAAAUAGG
RNAcentral lists this ribosomal RNA (403 nucleotides) under bacterium. RNAcentral's name for it is "partial 16S ribosomal RNA". It matches the Rfam family "Bacterial small subunit ribosomal RNA", at positions 355 to 776 of the family's 1533-position model. The record is from RNAcentral.